Molecule: ribosomal RNA, 85 nt
Filed under: Acinetobacter baumannii
Lineage: Bacteria; Pseudomonadati; Pseudomonadota; Gammaproteobacteria; Moraxellales; Moraxellaceae
Description: partial 16S ribosomal RNA
Rfam family: Bacterial small subunit ribosomal RNA
Source: RNAcentral
UUUAACUGAAGAGUUUGAUCAUGGCUCAGAUUGAACGCUGGCGGCAGGCUUAACACAUGCAAGUCGAGCGGGGGAAGGUAGCUUG